GACCACUCAGCCAUGUGGUUCCUUCAGCUCUCAGCACAGCCGAGUCCAGGCUGCAGGCUCUCCAUCACAAGCCAACUACAGAGUGACACAUGUUCUCUACACAUGCCGUGACUGAAUAUGUUGUGUUCUGAAAAUAUUUGGGAGUUAAUUUGUGUUUUGUGCCUAGUGCUUCAUGGACCGGUGCUCAUUGCAUCCUUACAGCCAUCUACAAGGGUGUCACCAUUAUUUGUAUUUUAUUAGACUUAGAGAGGUGAAGUGACUUGCUCAAAAUAAUACGGUUAGCAAAUGACUGAACCCCGACCCAACAGGGAGAAUGUGGGAAGAAAUCAACAAAGCUUAUUUAACAGGUAUCUGCCAAGGGUUGGAAAAAAUAAGAUUUAUUGUUGCUCCACUGAGCAGAACACAGCCCAUCAGAGGUUACUGCACCUUCAACGACAUGUGCUUUUGACUGACCCAUCAAAACACUGGUGGCAAGAGCACUAAAUAAGUUGCCUAUCAUACUUAAUCUUUCCAGGAUUCAAAGAGGAGUGUAGAGUGAAAUGACCUAUAAGACCCCUGAGCCUAAAAUAUAAUCUAAUGGACUCAGCUUUAAAGCGCUCAUUGAGAGGAUGGCCAAAAACCAGCCGCCACAGUGCGAAGCACGAUUCCUCCACCAUCCGCAGUCCACUCGCACAAAUACCCUCAGUGAAACACUUCUUUCUCUCCACCCACUUUUGAGUAGGAUGAAAUGGCACAUUCCAUUUUCAAAGUGGGCAGCUUGCACGUAUCAGCAGUGCCAGGAAUUUGGAAAACGAUAACGUGGAACCCACAGUAACUUGCUGGCUGAAUUUACUCACCCAGGUGACCCAGGUCGAUGAGGGCUUCAGAGCCACGGGGAUUUUAAAUGCCGCUUCAAAGCCAACAAGGAGCAGAACCAGUGCUGAUUCGUGUUUAUGAUAAUGACAUUUGAAAGGCUAAAAAUUACAAAGUUGUUUACAGAGAUGGACUUAGAAAAUAAUUGUAUCUAAUGUCUCAUAAACAUAAAAGAAAGUUAUUUUGUAGUAGAUGAUUGAAAAGAAAAAAUCUCCUUUAAAAAGGAAAUAAAUAUACUAGUUUCAGACAGAAACAACUUCAAAGGCAAUCAGAAAAUUCAGUGGAAUUUUAAAGAGGGAAUCUCACUCAAAGAAUUCUCUAAAAUUGCCUAAACUUAAAAGCAUUAUUUUUCUCGAGACAUUUAAUUUAGAUUGCAUACCAAACCCUGUAAUAAACCUCCUGCAAAGAAAUAAUAAUAGACCAUAGGCAUUAUAUAUGUUCACUGUUCACUGCGUGUAAAUACAAUGAUUGACCUUCCAUCAACAGACAAGAGGCAUAACUCCAUGGCAACAGAGAAAUAGAGGUCACAAUCAUAUUUUCCAAGGCAAUUUUUGGCCCUCGGGGGAUUCACUGUUAUACUUGGAGGCCAUGUCACCUGAGAGUCAAUGGGCAACGAUCAAAUUUCACCUUGAGCAGAUUCUUUUGUUUGCUUUUUAGUCACAAAUAGCUUGGCCCUAAGUGGUGGCUCCCAUUCUUGUAAGAUGCGUUUAUUCAUCGUGUAAUCACCAGUUCCCUGUAGUGGGGGCGUGGAUGGAGUGUCAGAGGCUCCUGCUGGUCUUUAGGGUGUCUGGCCUCCAGGAAUCCUAGAGGUAGUAUUUGGAGAGAUUUUUAAAAGCUUUGUUUCUGUGACCAGCAAAACCUGGAUUUGACACUGAGGUCAGCCCGUUUCAGCCAGUGACGUAACCUGUCUUUUUGCCCCAGUAAAUUGGGAACUACAGCACUCGAUGUUAGAGUUGUCGUGAAGAUUAAAGAAGGUGACGACUGGACAACUCCCAGCCCAAUACCUGAAACUGUACCAGCACCCAGUGAGCACUGCUAUUCCUGUGACUGCUGCACAUUUGCCUUAUCUCAGCAGUAUGCCUGUGUCACUUUUUUGGCACUCUUUUCUCAUGGGUACAUUCAGAGAAGAGGAAUGUUUGUUCACUGGUGAAGAGAACAUCCCGUGUACUAUCGUGUAGAAGUUGUAGUAGACGCUGUGGUCUUUCCAACAACAAACAAACCUCGUGCCAGCAACUUAAAUCUAUCAGCAAUGGAGAAUGCCUGGCAUUGGCUUCUGCAUGAGUGCCGUUUUAGUUGCUUUGUAUUCUUCUACCUUGAUUUUUUUUUCUGUUUUUCUACAUGAGUGUUGCCUGCAGAGUUCCCUGAUUGACUCAAAGUACAUCUUCUAUAUUGCUUCAAGUAGUGCUGGUCAUGAACACAAUUCAGUCUUAGUCAGCUAUUGGAACUGAUUGACUGCAAAGUUCUGGUGCCUCUUCUCGCAGCCCAGGGCAGAUGGACGUGCUAUGUGGGGCCCGUACAAAACAGAAUCAUGGAGCUGGUGGGGCAAGGAGUCAACCUCCCUCCUAGGGCCUGCAGCCUCCACCAGGGCAGAGAGCAAGUUUCUCUCAGCUUCUGCUCUCAGGUGGUGACCUGGCAGGGAGGACAGCUUGGCAGUAGGUGCAGGCACUGGACGGGGACCUCCUGGCUCCUCUCCUAGCUCUUGCAGCACCAGCCAUAAGGCACUCAGAUCAUGCAACUUCCCGGUGUCUCCGUCUCUGCAUCUUUAAAAUGGGGCUAAUAAGAACACUUUUCUCAUAGACUUAUAAAGAGAAUUAAUUAAAAAAAAUAAUGCUUGGCUCAGAAUGUACACUCCAUGAACAUCACCUGUUACCACUUAAGAAGGGUGCGUACCCUCCAGCCGCAUCCAUGCCAGUUCCCGUUGUCUCACCCUGGGCCAGCGACACCCAUCUUAAGUCACAAUUGAGAAUACAAGCAAGACACGCUGAAAUCUACCAGAAUAAAGGUCCAUCUUCACAGAACAAGCCUGUUUACACUUGAACCCACAGUUUUUCAGUCAUAUCCAGACUUCAAGGAGGGAAGAGGGCUCCACCGCAGGCUUCCUGUAGCAAGCAUGGGGGCCAUAUCUGAGUCCCCUGUGGCGUUCUGUCACCAUAGACUGUGACUUUCAAACAGCACAGUCACUUCUCACAGUGUUAAAGGUCAGAAGUCCCAGAUCAAGGUUCUGGCAGAUCUGGUAUCUGCUGCUGGGACAGGACCCAGGAGGUUCCGGAGGAUCAGGAGGUCCACCUGGGAGAAGAGCUGAUCGGCUAGUAGGAGAGCUGGAAAAGCAACAGACACCUACUUAGUCCCUUCCCUGGGGCCCGGCUCCAGUCUGAGCUGUCACGCCACAGCAAAGGCAUCACUUCAGGACAGCAAAGCCCCUGUCUCCCUCCCUUCCAGCUCCUCAGACUUCACCCUGGUAACACGUUUGUUUAAAAAACAUAUUUUUCCCCCUUGUAAAGAAUCUAGGAUACAAGGGGUCAGCCCAGCAGUUUAGGUAUCAAGAAGAAACUGCUCUCGGAGCUAAAGUAAGAAACAGUGCCUGUCUAUAGCGCAAAUAAAGAGUUGGAACAAGAUAAAAGGCAGUGAUCCUUCACCAGCCAAUCUCCAGGUGGAUCUCAGGAAUCCUGUGUGAUGUGUGACAUCAUCUGGGAAAGCCCCGCAGUUGCCAUGGAGACGCACCUCCCAGGCCUCGGGAAGCUGCCCCACCUCUCUGCCACCUUCUUCCAGACUGGUCAUGGCAGGCUGGCUCUGAUCUGGGUCCCAGACAGAGGGGAAUUGGUUUGCCUUUUUUCUUUUCUUUUCUUCUUUUUUUUCUUUUCUUUUCUUUGUAAACUGCAAUGACCGUGUGUGUGUGUGUGUUUGUGUGUGUGUGUCUGUGUAUGCAUAUAUAUAAAGAAAGAGAGAGAAAAAAAAACAGAGUGCCCCACGACGCAAGGUGCCCACCUUGACAAAUACACUGUGGGCAGACAAUAAACCCUUAUGAGGUUCUGGAGUGGCAGCAGCAAUGGCCUCCUGCCCUCCUGGCGGGCUGGAGCCUCCUCCUGGCAGGUGGGGUAGGGUUGAAACAUCAGAAAUGCCGAGAAAUGUCUCGGUGCAGCCUGAUUACAGAGACACUUGUGAUCCAUGAUUUCUGCUGCUCCACUGCUGAAAAAAAGAAAAAGGCCUGGAGUGCCUCAUCCGCUGUGGUUUCUCUCCCAUUUAAGUAAAAUUGGAAACUUUUUUAAAAAGAAAGCACAAUCAUGUAAUUAGUGCAGGCUCUCUUUUCUGGUUUUUUGAAAAGAGGCAUUUUCACACACACCUUAGUCCAUCUUAAACCCUUUCAACGUUCUGCAUGCUCUUCCUAAUUCCAGAGAGACAGAAUUUUUAUUUCCUUCGAUCGCAGGGAUACCUACAAUGGAAUUUACGUCUCAAUUAACAGUUUGACCAAGGGUUUACAAGUGGUUGAAUGGAGUACAAAUGAAGAAUUCGAAGAAACGCAAAGAGAGAAAGUGGACCGCCCAUAGACACCUGCUCUAUGCAAACAAUGGACUCCUUCCCUUUAUCUUAAGGGGUCUUACGCUACCUGUUUCUACGUCCUUUGCUGGUUCCCAUGACAGAAAUACACACGUUUCAGACAAGAUUAAAAUACAAAAUCCCAACCAUAGCCUCAUCUUUGCACACACACUCUCUCAUUUCCUGUUGGUACCAGCACUUUUCUAUUUCGGUCCUGGGUAUGGCUCACUAACCUACAGCAG
This 4628-nucleotide long non-coding RNA is filed under the name Homo sapiens (human). Its description in RNAcentral is "HSALNT0355742". Lineage: Eukaryota; Metazoa; Chordata; Mammalia; Primates; Hominidae. The record is from RNAcentral.